This 253-nucleotide ribosomal RNA is filed under the name uncultured bacterium. RNAcentral describes it as "partial 16S ribosomal RNA". It matches the Rfam family "Bacterial small subunit ribosomal RNA", at positions 524 to 776 of the family's 1533-position model. The record is from RNAcentral. RNAcentral also lists the same sequence under 2 other names.
UACAGAGGUCUCAAGCGUUGUUCGGAUUUAUUGGGCGUAAAGCGUGCGUAGGCGGCGGGGUAAGUGAGGUGUGAAAUCCCGGAGCUUAACUCCGGAACUGCACUUUAUACUGCCUUGCUCGAGGGCUGGAGAGGAGACUGGAAUUUACGGUGUAGCAGUGAAAUGCGUAGAGAUCGUAAGGAAGACCAGUGGCGAAGGCGAGUCUCUGGAAAGCUGCUGACGCUGAGGCACGAAGGCCAGGGGAGCAAACGGG